RNAcentral lists this transfer RNA (73 nucleotides) under Chlamydiales bacterium. Its description in RNAcentral is "tRNA-Trp". It matches the Rfam family "tRNA". From Rfam's summary of the family: Transfer RNA (tRNA) molecules are approximately 80 nucleotides in length. Their secondary structure includes four short double-helical elements and three loops (D, anti-codon, and T loops). Further hydrogen bonds mediate the characteristic L-shaped molecular structure. tRNAs have two regions of fundamental functional importance: the anti-codon, which is responsible for specific mRNA codon recognition, and the 3' end, to which the tRNAs corresponding amino acid is attached (by aminoacyl-tRNA synthetases). tRNAs cope with the degeneracy of the genetic code in two manners: having more than one tRNA (with a specific anti-codon) for a particular amino acid; and 'wobble' base-pairing, i.e. permitting non-standard base-pairing at the 3rd anti-codon position. The record is from RNAcentral. Lineage: Bacteria; Pseudomonadati; Chlamydiota; Chlamydiia; Chlamydiales. RNAcentral also lists the same sequence under 2 other names.
GGGUGUGUAGCUCAGCUGGUAGAGCAGCGGUCUCCAAAGCCGCCGGUCGGGGGUUCGAUCCCCUCCGCACUCG